RNAcentral lists this ribosomal RNA (497 nucleotides) under uncultured bacterium. RNAcentral describes it as "partial 16S ribosomal RNA". It matches the Rfam family "Bacterial small subunit ribosomal RNA", at positions 28 to 507 of the family's 1533-position model. The record is from RNAcentral.
GAUGAACGCUGGCGGCGUGCCUAAUACAUGCAAGUCGAGCGAACAGACGAGGAGCUUGCUCCUCUGACGUUAGCGGCGGACGGGUGAGUAACACGUGGAUAACCUACCUAUAAGACUGGGAUAACUUCGGGAAACCGGAGCUAAUACCGGAUAAUAUAUGGAACCGCAUGGUUCAAUAGUGAAAGACGGUUUUGCUGUCACUUAUAGAUGGAUCCGCGCCGCAUUAGCUAGUUGGUAAGGUAACGGCUUACCAAGGCAACGAUGCGUAGCCGACCUGAGAGGGUGAGCGGCCACACUGGAACUGAGACACGGUCCAGACUCCUACGGGAGGCAGCAGUAGGGAAUCUUGCGCAAUGGGCGAAAGCCUGACGGAGCAACGCCGCGUGAGUGAUGAAGGUCUUCGGAUCGUAAAACUCUGUUAUUAGGGAAGAACAAAUGUGUAAGUAACUAUGCACGUCUUGACGGUACCUAAUCAGAAAGCCACGGCUAACUACGUG